RNAcentral lists this ribosomal RNA (275 nucleotides) under uncultured prokaryote. Its description in RNAcentral is "partial 16S ribosomal RNA". It matches the Rfam family "Bacterial small subunit ribosomal RNA", at positions 524 to 798 of the family's 1533-position model. The record is from RNAcentral.
UACGUAGGUGGCAAGCGUUGUCCGUAUUUACUGGGCGUAAAGGGAGCGUAGGCGGAUUUUUAAGUGAGAUGUGAAAUACCCGGGCUUAACUUGGGUGCUGCAUUUCAAACUGGAAGUCUAGAGUGUAGGAGAGGAGAAGGGAAUUCCUAGUGUAGCGGUGAAAUGCGUAGAGAUUAGGAAGAACACCAGUGGCGAAGGCGCUUCUCUGGACUGUAACUGACGCUGAGGCUCGAAAGCGUGGGGAGCAAACAGGAUUAGAUACCCUGGUAGUCCCU